This 203-nucleotide ribosomal RNA is filed under the name uncultured bacterium. RNAcentral describes it as "partial 16S ribosomal RNA". It matches the Rfam family "Bacterial small subunit ribosomal RNA", at positions 1299 to 1500 of the family's 1533-position model. The record is from RNAcentral.
UGCAGUCUGAAACUCGAGUGCAUGAAGCUGGAAUCGCUAGUAAUCGCAAAUCAGAAUGUUGCGGUGAAUACGUUCCCGGGUCUUGUACACACCGCCCGUCACACCAUGGGAGUUGGAAAUGCCCGAAGUCAGUGACCCAACCAAAAGGAGGGAGCUGCCGAAGGCAGGUUCGAUGACUGGGGGUGAAGUCGUAACAAGGUAAC